UACGGAGUGUGCAAGCGUUGCUCGGAAUCACUGGGCAUAAAGAGCACGUAGGCGGAGAUGCAUGUCGGUGGUGAAAUCCCCCAGCUCAACUGGGGAGCUGCUUCCGAAACUGCAUUUCUUGAGGGUGAGAGGGGAGAGUGGAACUUCUGGUGGAGCGGUGAAAUGCGUAGAUAUCAGAAGGAACACCGGUGGCGAAAGCGACUCUCUGGCUCACAUCUGACGCUGAGGUGCGAAAGCUUGGGUAGCAAACAGG
This 253-nucleotide ribosomal RNA is filed under the name uncultured bacterium. RNAcentral's name for it is "partial 16S ribosomal RNA". It matches the Rfam family "Bacterial small subunit ribosomal RNA", at positions 524 to 776 of the family's 1533-position model. The record is from RNAcentral.